UGGGGAAUAUUGCACAAUGGGCGCAAGCCUGAUGCAGCAACGCCGCGUGAGGGACGACGGCCUUCGGGUUGUAAACCUCUUUUGGCAGGGAAGAAGCGAAAGUGACGGUACCUGCAGAAAAAGCACCGGCUAACUACGUGCCAGCAGCCGCGGUGAUACGUAGGGUGCAAGCGUUGUCCGGAAUUAUUGGGCGUAAAGAGCUCGUAGGCGGUUCGUCACGUCGGAUGUGAAAACCUGGGGCUUAACCCCGGGCCUGCAUACGAUACGGGCGAACUAGAGUUCGGUAGGGGAGACUGGAAUUCCUGGUGUAGCGGUGAAAUGCGCAGAUAUCAGGAGGAACACCGGUGGCGAAGGCGGGUCUCUGGGCCGAUACUGACGCUGAGGAGCGAAAGCGUGGGGAGCAAACA
RNAcentral lists this ribosomal RNA (407 nucleotides) under uncultured bacterium. RNAcentral's name for it is "bacterial SSU rRNA". It matches the Rfam family "Bacterial small subunit ribosomal RNA", at positions 355 to 774 of the family's 1533-position model. The record is from RNAcentral.